CUUGCUACUGAAAGCCAAGAAGGAACAGCUGAAAUGGGAAGGUCUCCCUCGCGUCACUAAAAAACUAGUGGACCAGCAGAUCACCAAGAAGGAACUGUAGAGGGUCGGGCAGCAGACCAUCAUGAUUGAACCCUCUCAAUGAGCUAACGGUAAAGGGCAGAGAUUUUUUUGGUGUUUCUCUCUUGGACCAGGAGAGGCAUGUUAUAUGCAUCCAGGACAAACCAGGUGUGCUCCUCAACACACAGACUGGCACCACCUCCAAGAACCAACAUUGUCCUGCCAAACUACAGGUGUGUCAGAGGGUCAACAUCACUUCAGUCAUUCCUCAUGCAUCUAGACAGGUUCGUCCCAGUUUGUAGGAAUGGAGAGGUGGUGUAUGGGCUUCCAGCAGAGAGAUUCCCUCCUUCCUCCUUGUUUCUGCUGCUCUACCACUUAAUACACCUGUGCCAAAAAAGAGAAAGUGUGAGGACUAGCAGGAUGAAAAUUGCGCCUUUUUGCUGUUCAGGAAGGAGCAGAGGCUAAAUGUUGUUGCUAAGCUGAACAUCAGCGACAGCAGUAGUAAAUUCUGUCCUUGGAUAGAGGGUCAGUUUCUUUGCUCUGUAUGUUUGAGACACUAAGUGUCACACAAACCUCACCACGGUUUGGUUAAAGUUUUCUGCAGUCACGCACCAAUAGUAGUCCUACAGCAACAAUGAUGUACACGAUGCUCACGUACAACUCAGAUAUUUACAUCAUUACACUAGAUGAUGCAACAAGUUGCCAUUUGUGCUCUAAUACUGCCAUCUAGUGGAACUUAGACAAACACACCACAUUAAAUUAAUAUGUAAAUUAAGAUAUUGAAGUUACAUUUUUCUCAACAAGUAAUAAUAAUAAUAAUAAUACAUUUUAUUUAAAGGCGCCUUUCUUGGCACUCAAGGACACCGUACACAGUAGGAAUGCGCGAUAUAAACGAUAUACGAUAUAAACGAUAAAACAAUGGCCUACGAUAGAGAUUUGAAUUAUAUCCCCUAUCACGAUAACGCAUGUUGAUCACGCAAUCACAAGGCAUACUGGGUGUACCUUAAUGGCGAUCCACUCACACUUUUUUUUCUCAUAAAAAAUAACCUCACGAUCGGAGAGAUACACUAAAUGAUGUUAUUCAUUCUGUAAUGUAGAUAUAAUAAAACCCCAAACUUAUGUCUUACUUAAUAACAUAAAACGAAAUUCAAUAUAGACUGAUCUGUUUAUUUAAAUACAUUUAUAUUUAUUUAGAUUGUGUUAUAUAUACUUAUAACAUGUUGCAGCCCCAGAGGAAACGCUGUUGUUCAGUCCAGUAAAAACAUGAAGCUUCAUUUUACAUUCAGAAAAACUAAUGUUGCGGCUGCAGUUGUUAAUUUCAUCUAUGAAACCAACAUUUAUCUUCCAAAAGGGAUUAUAUUACCCAGCGGUAAAUUUCAGGCCAGUUCAUUAGAUCGUUUUGUCCCCGGGAUGAUGGCGGAGGUUCACCGAGCCGGUGAUCAUGUCCAUAGUCCGGCUGCUUAUAAGCAGCUGCUCCCGGUCUGUGGAUCCCACAUCUCUCAUCUCCGAAAACGUCGGACAAAAUUUCAUUAAAUAUCCAAAGUGGUUCAAAGAGCUGCAGGUCUGUUCAUCGGAUCGCUUUCCCUCCGGCAUGACGAGGGAGGUAGACCCCGGCUAUCAUCUUCGUACUCCGGCUGCUAGCUGCUCCCGGUCAGCCAUGUACCCGUCUGCAGGUGUUUCGUGUUAACUGGUGCCUUUUUCACAUUACAUUACGUUACACGAGAUGAAUGAGUCCUUUGAAUGCAAUUUAACUUGCAUACACGAUUAGAUAUUACACAUAUUAUUAAAUAAGACCAGUUUUAAAUGUGCAACAUUUAUGUUUACAGAAUACUGUAUGAUUACA
This is a long non-coding RNA of Seriola aureovittata, 1900 nucleotides long. RefSeq lists it as uncharacterized. The transcript is spliced from 3 exons. The record is from RefSeq and is a predicted model, not a curated record. Lineage: Eukaryota; Metazoa; Chordata; Actinopteri; Carangiformes; Carangidae.